AGUGAACGCUGGCGGUAGGCCUAACACAUGCAAGUCGAACGGCAGCACAGUAAGAGCUUGCUCUUACGGGUGGCGAGUGGCGGACGGGUGAGGAAUACAUCGGAAUCUACUUUUUCGUGGGGGAUAACGUAGGGAAACUUACGCUAAUACCGCAUACGACCUACGGGUGAAAGCAGGGGAUCUUCGGACCUUGCGCGAUUGAAUGAGCCGAUGUCGGAUUAGCUCGUUGGCGGGGUAAAGGCCCACCAAGGCGACGAUCCGUAGCUGGUCUGAGAGGAUGAUCAGCCACACUGGAACUGAGACACGGUCCAGACUCCUACGGGAGGCAGCAGUGGGGAAUAUUGGACAAUGGGCGCAAGCCUGAUCCAGCCAUACCGCGUGGGUGAAGAAGGCCUUCGGGUUGUAAAGACCUUUUGUUGGGAAAGAAAAGCAGCAGGUUAAUACCCCGCUGUUCUGACGGUACCCAAAGAAUAAGCACCGGCUAACUUCGUG
RNAcentral lists this ribosomal RNA (492 nucleotides) under uncultured bacterium. RNAcentral's name for it is "partial 16S ribosomal RNA". It matches the Rfam family "Bacterial small subunit ribosomal RNA", at positions 29 to 507 of the family's 1533-position model. The record is from RNAcentral.